GCCAGUGUGAUGUUGUGGUUUGAGUGUUGGACUAUGACUCUGGAGACCAGGGUUCAAAUCCCUGCUCAUCCA
Molecule: transfer RNA, 72 nt
Filed under: Phrynosoma platyrhinos (Desert horned lizard)
Lineage: Eukaryota; Metazoa; Chordata; Lepidosauria; Squamata; Phrynosomatidae
Description: tRNA-OTHER
Source: RNAcentral